GACGAGCGCUGGCGGCGUGCUUAACACAUGCAAGUCGAACGGAAAGGCCCUGCUUGCAGGGUGCUCGAGUGGCGAACGGGUGAGUAACACGUGGGUGAUCUGCCCCUUACUUUGGGAUAAGCCUGGGAAACUGGGUCUAAUACUGGAUAGGACCAUGCUGUAGGUGGUGUGGUGGAAAGAUUAGUUUCGGUAAGGGAUGAGCUCGCGGCCUAUCAGCUUGUUGGUGGGGUAAUGGCCUACCAAGGCGUCGACGGGUAGCCGGCCUGAGAGGGUGGACGGCCACAUUGGGACUGAGAUACGGCCCAGACUCCUACGGGAGGCAGCAGUGGGGAAUAGUGCACAAUGGGCGCAAGCCUGAUGCAGCGACGCCGCGUGGGGGAUGACGGCCUUCGGGUUGUAAACUCCUUGCAGCCAUGACGAAGCCCUUGUGGUGACGGUAGUGGUAGAAGAAGCACCGGCUAACUACGUG
This 469-nucleotide ribosomal RNA is filed under the name uncultured bacterium. RNAcentral's name for it is "partial 16S ribosomal RNA". It matches the Rfam family "Bacterial small subunit ribosomal RNA", at positions 28 to 507 of the family's 1533-position model. The record is from RNAcentral.